UAGGGAAUCUUCCACAAUGGACGCAAGUCUGAUGGAGCAACGCCGCGUGAGUGAAGAAGGUUUUCGGACCGUAAAGCUCUGUUGUUGGUGAAGAAGGAUAGAGGUAGUAACUGGCCUUUAUUUGACGGUAAUCAACCAGAAAGUCACGGCUAACUACGUGCCAGCAGCCGCGGUAAUACGUAGGUGGCAAGCGUUGUCCGGAUUUAUUGGGCGUAAAGCGAGCGCAGGCGGAAGAAUAAGUCUGAUGUGAAAGCCCUCGGCUUAACCGAGGAAUUGCAUCGGAAACUGUUUUCUUGAGUGCAGAAGAGGAGAGUAGAACUCCAUGUGUAGCGGUGGAAUGCGUAGAUAUAUGGAAGAAUACCAGUGGCGAAGGCGGCUCUCUGGUCUGCAACUGACGCUGAGGCCCGAAAGCAUGGGUAGCGAACAGGAUUAGAUACCCUGGUAGUCCAUGCCGUAAACGAUGAGUGCUAAGUGUUGGGAGGCUUCCGCCUCUCAGUGCUGCAGCUAACGCAUUAAGCACUCCGCCUGGGGGAGUACGACCGCAAGGUUGAAAC
RNAcentral lists this ribosomal RNA (554 nucleotides) under uncultured bacterium. RNAcentral describes it as "partial 16S ribosomal RNA". It matches the Rfam family "Bacterial small subunit ribosomal RNA", at positions 355 to 900 of the family's 1533-position model. The record is from RNAcentral.